Long non-coding RNA from Vigna angularis (adzuki bean), 261 nucleotides. RefSeq lists it as uncharacterized. The transcript is spliced from 3 exons. The record is from RefSeq and is a predicted model, not a curated record. NCBI's taxonomy places the organism in Eukaryota, Viridiplantae, Streptophyta, Magnoliopsida, Fabales, Fabaceae.
CAGAUACCGUGGAAACAUUCCCUGCACCGUGAGCAUCGUUCUGAACCGAACAGAACUGAGAUCUGAACUGAUUAAGUGGAAGUUGUGGAGUGAUUCUUUGGGUAGAAAGCUGUGAGAGAACGAGCGAAACCCUUGCAAUUGGAAGUGCACUACUGAACCAGAUGGUGAGGCGCCACUUGAAGAAAUGCUGGAAGAAGAAAAUUUGGAAGACGCCAACCUUGUUGAAGUAGAGGUUAAAGUCGAGCCCUAGAGCGCUCGUUA